Molecule: ribosomal RNA, 484 nt
Filed under: uncultured bacterium
Lineage: Bacteria
Description: partial 16S ribosomal RNA
Rfam family: Bacterial small subunit ribosomal RNA
Source: RNAcentral
AUUGAACGCUGGCGGCAGGCCUAACACAUGCAAGUCGAGCGGAUGAAGGGAGCUUGCUCCUGGAUUCAGCGGCGGACGGGUGAGUAAUGCCUAGGAAUCUGCCUGGUAGUGGGGGAUAACGUCCGGAAACGGGCGCUAAUAUCGCAUACGUCCUGAGGGAGAAAGUGGGGGAUCUUCGGACCUCACGCUCUCAGAUGAUCCUAGGUCGGAUUAGCUAGUUGGUGGGGUAAAGGCCUACCAAGGCGACGAUCCGUAACUGGUCUGAGAGGAUGAUCAGUCACACUGGAACUGAGACACGGUCCAGACUCCUACGGGAGGCAGCAGUGGGGAAUAUUGGACAAUGGGCGAAAGCCUGAUCCAGCCAUGCCGCGUGUGUGAAGAAGGUCUUCGGAUUGUAAAGCACUUUAAGUUGGGAAGAAGGGCAGUAAGUUAAUACCUUGCUGUUUUGACGUUACCAACAGAAUAAGCACCGGCUAACUUCGUG